This 420-nucleotide unclassified non-coding RNA is filed under the name Hevea brasiliensis (rubber tree). The record is from RNAcentral. Lineage: Eukaryota; Viridiplantae; Streptophyta; Magnoliopsida; Malpighiales; Euphorbiaceae.
AAAAAGAUAAGAUGUUCAACAUCUCAAGCAAAUCAUCGGCUGUUUAUUGGUAAUGUUCCAAGAAACUGGGAAGAGGAAGAUAUGAAAAAUGUUGUAAUGAAGAUUGGGCCAGGAGUAAUUUCUGUGGAAUUGUUGAAGGACCCACAGAACUCCAGCCGAAAUCGUGGAUUUGCUUUCAUUGAGUAUUAUAAUCAUGCUUGUGCAGAAUACUCAAGAAAAAAGAUGUCAGACGCAAAAUUUACACUUGAUGAUAAUGCUCCAACAGUGAGCUGGGCUGACCCUAAAAAUGCAGGAUCUUCAGCUGCUUCUCAGGUCAAGGCAGUGUACGUGAAGAACUUACCAAAAGACAUUUCUCAGGAUCGCCUAAGACAGCUGUUUGAACGGCAUGGAAAAGUUAUAAAAGUGGUUCUCCCUCCUGCA